GGUGUGGGUUUUUUUGUUUUUGUUUUUUUAAAGUUUAACCUAUUUUAGUUUCCCUCCAUGUAUUAGUCAGGGUUCUCUAAAAGGACAGAAGUAAUAUAUGAAUGUAUGAAGGGAGUUGAUUAGGAGAACAGACUCACACCAUCACAAGUUGAAGUCCCACGAUAGGCCAUCUGCAAGCUGAGGAGCCAGGAAGCCAGUCUUGGCUGAGGUUUUGAGUCUCAAAACCUCACAAGCAGGGAAGCCGACAGUGCAGCUUUCAGUUUGUGGCCAAAGGCCCAAGAGCCCCCGGCAAACCACUGGUGUAGGUCCGAGAGUCCAAAAGCUGAAGAACUCGGAGUCCAAUGUUCGAGGGCAGGAAGCAUCCAGUGCAAGAAAAAGAUGGAGGCCGGAAGUCUCAGCAAGUCUGCUCUUCCCAUGCCUGCUUUUAUGCUGACAGCGGAUUGUUUGUUGCUCACCCAGAUUGAGGGAGGGUCUGCCUCUCCCAGUCCACCGACUCAAAGACUCAAAUGUGAAUCCCCUUUGGCAGUCCCCUCACAGACGCUCCCAGGAACAAUACUUUGCAUCCUUCAAUCAAGUUGAGGCUUAACAUUCACCAUCACAGUCAGCUUCUUGAAUUUCUAGCUGCUGCCUAGCGGGGCCGGAGGAAGCUGUGAAAAGAUGACCAACGUCAGAACAUCCUGCUGAUGAUUUAAAGUGCCGAUUCGAAGAGCUUCAAGAGUCUCCUGAAAUGAGCCCGUGUGCCAGUCUAGUGACCUCACCUGCUCCUCAUGCUCCCCUUCGCUGCCUGGCAAGGGCUGUGCCUGAAGCCUCUUGUGUUGAGCUCAUCAUCGGUUACAAGCACUGGGGACACACGGCGCUGAGAAAGCUGCAGAGCUGCAGAGCUGCAGCCCCGGAGCCAAGGCAAAUGAGAUGCGGUCAAAACCUCGUGCCUGUGACCACAGAUACGCAGCGGGGUGAGUCCUGCCAUGGGCGGGGUGCGGCUGUGCACAUGAGAGCUCAAAAGGGUGGGGUGUGGCCAGGGCAGGCUUCCCUGAAGGGAGCCAGGGAGAGUGAGCAGCAGAAGCCAGGAGGAGCAGGGCAGAAGAGAAGAGAGUGUUCCAAGCAGAGAGAACAGGCUACACCAGGGCCCUGUGGCAGGACGAAGCUUGGCACGUCUGAGGAUCUGGAAGGGGUCAGAGCAGCCCAGACAGGGUGGGCAGGCCAGUGGGCAGACUGGAGCAUGCGGGAACUGCAGGCCAGGCUGGGGACAUUGUGCAGCUGUGGUACGCUGUCAGCAGCAAUGACACGUCCCCUCCUGCUACUCUGUGGAAGCUCAGAGGCCACUGCAGAUACACAGGAAAACACUGGAGGGAUAUUUAGGAGGUACAAACCACAGGACAGGGUGGCCAACUGGAUGUGGGGAGUGGGGCUGGGGGAAGUCAAGGGUGACACUAGCUCCUAAUGAGGCCUUUGAGGGCAGAGGGCUCAUGCCCAAGGCAGGGAGCCCCAAAGGUCUGUCCUUCACACAUCACCACUGCCGGGACUCCCUGGGCCAUCAGGCCUGAUGCUCACAGUCCUCCUGUGCCUCUGCUCGCCUCUCAGCACUGUGACCUGGGUGGCCCUGGCCGUGCUGCUCCACUUCGCCACAUAGACACCAUCUCCUUAUCCCCUGGAACUCUUAUACCAUGAGUUCCAUUAUAAUCUUCACUUCACACAGGAGGAAACUGAGGCUCACAGAGGUGAAAUAACUUACUGAAGGUCACACAACAAGGGUCAAAGCUAGAACUCAAGCCCCGAUCUGUGGAACACCAAGACUCAUGCCCUUCCCAGCUGCAUGAGUAGCUGGCCCUCAGCACCUGCAGAGGACUGGUUCAAGGACCCCAUGGAUACCAAAAUCUGCAGAGGCUCCAGUCCCUGAUGUAAAGUAGCAUGCUAGGCCGGGCGUGGUGGCUCACACCUGUAAUCCCAGCACUUUGGGAGGCUGAG
Non-coding RNA from Macaca mulatta (Rhesus monkey), 1965 nucleotides. The record is from RefSeq and is a predicted model, not a curated record. Lineage: Eukaryota; Metazoa; Chordata; Mammalia; Primates; Cercopithecidae.